Molecule: long non-coding RNA, 1491 nt
Filed under: Fukomys damarensis (Damara mole-rat)
Lineage: Eukaryota; Metazoa; Chordata; Mammalia; Rodentia; Bathyergidae
Description: lncRNA (ENSFDAG00000031679.1)
Source: RNAcentral
CUGUGCUUCAGACAGUGGGUUUAGGCACUUCCGCUGCCGCCCUUCAUCUGCCUUUCCUCUAUCCCUGAAGCCACUGUGAUCCUUUAAUUGUCCCUCCACACAUUGUUCUUGUUCAUUUCCUCCCAGGCUUUCCCAAAGCCAUGCAGUGGUUCUAAUUUGGACCCUCAUUAUCCACUACCUCAACCGAGGCACUGGGGUGUGCUGGCCUUCCUGAUCUCCUCCAGAGAUGUUGCCAUGGCAACCUCCCUGUCCUGUACUGAUCAAAGUCUCCAAGGGCUCCCCAUCGCCUGCAGGCUUCAGCUUGCGCUGCAGCUCUGCAUGGUUCAUCUUGUUCAAGGACAGCAGAGAGAAAGGACACCCUACCAUCACAUUGCACACUUCUAAAAUCGCAGGCAGAUCUGCAAGGAGCUCACUUUGCUCUACAGAAACCCAUGGAAGAUGCUCAUUUUUACUGAGCUUCUGCUGGGCCAAGAACUCUCACAGCAAUAGAAGAGGCUCCACUGCCACUGGAACCUCCAAUCCAAAGCACCCCAGGGAAACAGGAAGCCACGGGUCACCCAGCUGUCCCAUAAAGCUGCUGCCUUCCUUAUCACCGUGCUCUCUGGUACACCAGGUUAUAUUUUGUUCUCAGAUUAUAUUUGAAUUUAAUGCAGAAAGGGUCUUGAUUUUUGGGAUAAUAUAUUUUUAAAAGUUGCUAUAAUUAUGCUACCUUUUGCAAGGCCUGCCUCUGAAAGGCUCUUGUCACAGGACCAAUGGGGAGGGGGGAUCUAGGGCCUGCAGCGGGUGAAGAUGGGACAGCUCCAGGCCCAGGGAGGUCACUAACCUCUGGUUCCUCCUCUCUGCUCUGGAGACUUAAUUACAAUUUGUUCCAUAGACUAGGUCUUCUUUACGAAUUACUCAUGGAGGAAAAAAUGUUCCUUCUUGUAGAUAUAAGGGACAAAAAAGACAUACUAGAAACAUUUCUGAUAGACGCUGAGAACAUACUUGGAUCUAUGUCCUGCUGUCUGAUGGUGAGGUCUCAAACCAACUUUCUUUCCUCUCAGAGCUUCAACUGCUCACUGCUAAGUUGAUUCACAAGACUGGCAUGCAAACUGAGCCAAGGGGUGGUUGUUAUCAUUGUACCACAUUCAGAAUUAUUUAGCUGAUCUGGUCCUUAUUCCUCUCCCACUCCCAUCACUACCAUUCGUUGGACAUUUUUCUUCCAUCCUUCCCCCAGUGCUAUUUCUGCCUUGAAGCCAGCUGAUUAUGGACUGAAAUCAUGACCCACCACGAACCUCUUCUCCUUUAAGCUGCAGGCUUCAAGACACAGUUGUCUCGGUGACAAAAAAAUGGACUAAUACAAGAAGCGAAUGCAUAUAUCCUUAAAAAGACACACCGAAAUGCUCACAGAAGCAUUCAUGUGGCUCAUACACUCAUCAACAAGCAAGCGAAUAAAUGGAUUGAGGUGUAUUGCAUAUUAUCAAGAAAUGCUUUCUAAGUAAUGGACAGAGC